UCCAGUGGCGGCGUAGUUCCGUCGACCUGGGCCUCCGCCUCGCCCACCCCCAUCCGCGGCUUCUUCCCGUGUGGACGCCGUCACCGACGUUGACAUCUUCGAAACGCUGGCACCCUCAGCAACCUCGGCAUCCCCAUGGAGCCUCUCGGAGGUUGGUUCCCGCGCCGACGCCAUUGCCGACCUCGAGGUCUUCCAAUAGUAGCGAGGUCCCAAGGCCCUUCCUCGAACCCCCCCCCCCCCCCCGCCCCUCCCUCCGCCCCAUCGCAGAUUUCUGGAUGCCUCCGGAGCACCUGCAAUCCAACGGAAGCGCGAGUGAAGCCGGAGCCUCUUCAGAGGCACAUCUCACGCGAAGGCCAUCGGUGACUUGGAGGCAGAGCUCUGAAAUUCAGACGUCCAUAGCAAGCUUGAAGAAAAGAACCUGACGAAACAUAAAAGAGAGAUACUAUAUCAUUCCAAGUAAAAAAUAUUGUUGCUAUGGGUGGUCCUAUCGGAUCUAUAUUUUCUACACCUUCAGACCCACAAGGUCAUCAAGAUAGUUCUAUCCAAUUUGUGACAACAAACUUAACAUCCUCAUCUUCUGAUGUAACAGGUACACACAGCAAGGACGCUAUGGUGCGAGGUGUGGAAGGCUUGAUCCACACGAUGUCACAGCUCAUGGAGAAUCAGGGGCGUGGAAGCAACCCUACAUAGUUAGUGCAACUGAUUUCUUCUUGAUGCUGGGGAGGUCCUGAACGACAGAGACAGGUUCCAGGUGUAUGAACCACAGGAUGAAUCACAGGAAUGAUCAAGGAUGCAAAUGAUGAUGCAUGCUGAAGAUGAUCGUCUUAUGUCCCUAAUCACUUUCUGUUUACCAUUCUGCUUAGCCAUUGUCUAAGAGUUCUGUAACGGCUGUUAUCCUUUUGAUACUAUU
Phragmites australis (common reed) is the source of this 910-nucleotide long non-coding RNA. RefSeq lists it as uncharacterized. The transcript has 4 exons. The record is from RefSeq and is a predicted model, not a curated record. Lineage: Eukaryota; Viridiplantae; Streptophyta; Magnoliopsida; Poales; Poaceae.